GAGGUUAAGCGACUAAGCGUACACGGUGGAUGCCCUGGCAGUCAGAGGCGAUGAAGGACGUGCUAAUCUGCGAUAAGCGUCGGUGAGGUGAUAUGAACCGUUAUAACCGGCGAUUUCCGAAUGGGGAAACCCAGUGUGUUUCGACACACUAUCAUUAACUGAAUCCAUAGGUUAAUGAGGCGAACCGGGGGAACUGAAACAUCUAAGUACCCCGAGGAAAAGAAAUCAACCGAGAUUCCCCCAGUAGCGGCGAGCGAACGGGGAGGAGCCCAGAGCCUGAAUCAGUGUGUGUGUUAGUGGAAGCGUCUGGAAAGGCGUGCGAUACAGGGUGACAGCCCCGUACACAAAAAUGCACAUAUUGUGAGCUCGAUGAGUAGGGCGGGACACGUGGUAUCCUGUCUGAAUAUGGGGGGACCAUCCUCCAAGGCUAAAUACUCCUGACUGACCGAUAGUGAACCAGUACCGUGAGGGAAAGGCGAAAAGAACCCCGGCGAGGGGAGUGAAAAAGAACCUGAAACCGUGUACGUACAAGCAGUGGGAGCCUCUUAAUGGGGUGACUGCGUACCUUUUGUAUAAUGGGUCAGCGACUUAUAUUCUGUAGCAAGGUUAACCGAAUAGGGGAGCCGAAGGGAAACCGAGUCUUAACUGGGCGUUAAGUUGCAGGGUAUAGACCCGAAACCCGGUGAUCUAGCCAUGGGCAGGUUGAAGGUUGGGUAACACUAACUGGAGGACCGAACCGACUAAUGUUGAAAAAUUAGCGGAUGACUUGUGGCUGGGGGUGAAAGGCCAAUCAAACCGGGAGAUAGCUGGUUCUCCCCGAAAGCUAUUUAGGUAGCGCCUCGUGAAUUCAUCUCCGGGGGUAGAGCACUGUUUCGGCAAGGGGGUCAUCCCGACUUACCAACCCGAUGCAAACUGCGAAUACCGGAGAAUGUUAUCACGGGAGACACACGGCGGGUGCUAACGUCCGUCGUGAAGAGGGAAACAACCCAGACCGCCAGCUAAGGUCCCAAAGUCAUGGUUAAGUGGGAAACGAUGUGGGAAGGCCCAGACAGCCAGGAUGUUGGCUUAGAAGCAGCCAUCAUUUAAAGAAAGCGUAAUAGCUCACUGGUCGAGUCGGCCUGCGCGGAAGAUGUAACGGGGCUAAACCAUGCACCGAAGCUGCGGCAGCGACACUAUGUGUUGUUGGGUAGGGGAGCGUUCUGUAAGCCUGUGAAGGUGGCCUGUGAGGGUUGCUGGAGGUAUCAGAAGUGCGAAUGCUGACAUAAGUAACGAUAAAGCGGGUGAAAAGCCCGCUCGCCGGAAGACCAAGGGUUCCUGUCCAACGUUAAUCGGGGCAGGGUGAGUCGACCCCUAAGGCGAGGCCGAAAGGCGUAGUCGAUGGGAAACAGGUUAAUAUUCCUGUACUUGGUGUUACUGCGAAGGGGGGACGGAGAAGGCUAUGUUGGCCGGGCGACGGUUGUCCCGGUUUAAGCGUGUAGGCUGGUUUUCCAGGCAAAUCCGGAAAACCAAGGCUGAGGCGUGAUGA
This 1525-nucleotide ribosomal RNA is filed under the name Escherichia coli. Its description in RNAcentral is "partial 23S ribosomal RNA". It matches the Rfam family "Bacterial large subunit ribosomal RNA", at positions 1 to 1569 of the family's 2925-position model. Lineage: Bacteria; Pseudomonadati; Pseudomonadota; Gammaproteobacteria; Enterobacterales; Enterobacteriaceae. The record is from RNAcentral. RNAcentral also lists the same sequence under 1 other name.